This is a non-coding RNA of Ictidomys tridecemlineatus (thirteen-lined ground squirrel), 69 nucleotides long. Lineage: Eukaryota; Metazoa; Chordata; Mammalia; Rodentia; Sciuridae. The record is from Rfam.
GGGGUUGUGGCUCAGUGGUAAAGCACUCACCUGGUGUGUGUGAGGCCCUGGGUUCGAUCCUCAGCACCA